ACGGGGUGAAUAUCCCAAGGCGCGUGAGAGAACCCUGGUUAAGGAACUCUGCAAAUUGACACCGUAACUUCGGGAGAAGGUGUGCCGCUGGCGGUUAGUGACUUCGCGUCACGAAGCUGUUGGUGGUCGCAGUGAAAUGGCGGUUGUGACUGUUUACUAAAAACACAGGACUCUGCGAAGUCGUAAGACGACGUAUAGAGUCUGAUGCCUGCCCGGUGCUGGAAGGUUAAGGGGAUAUGUCAGAGCAAUCGAAGCAUUGAACCGAAGCCCCAGUAAACGGCGGCCGUAACGAUAACGGUCCUAAGGUAGCGAAAUUCCUUGUCGGGUAAGUUCCGACCUGCACGAGGGCAUAACAACAUCCGCACUGUCUCGACCAGGGACUCAGCGAAAUUACAUUGGGGGUGAAGAUGCCCUCUACCCGCGGAAAGACGGAAAGACCCCAUGAACCUUUACUGCAACUUGGCAGUGAUUUUCGGGUUGUUCUGCGUAGGAUAGGUGGGAGGCUUUGAAGUCGGGCUUCCGGGUUCGACAGAGCCAACGUUGAAAUACCACCCUGAAUAAUCUGGAAAUCUAACCUGCGCCCAUGAUCUGGGCGAGGGACACUGCCUGGUGGGCAGUUUGACUGGGGCGGUCGCCUCCUAAAUUGUAACGGAGGCGUGCGACGGUUCCCUCAGGCUGAUUGGAAACCAGCCGUAGAGUGCAAACGCAUAAGGGAGCUUUACUGCGAGACUGACAAGUCGAACAGUUGCAAAAGCAGGUGUUAGUGAUCCGGUGGUACCACAUGGAAGGGCCAUCGCUCAUCGGAUAAAAGGUACUCUGGGGAUAACAGGCUGAUCGCGCCUGAGAGUUCACAUCGGCGGCGCGGUUUGGCACCUCGAUGUCGGCUCAUCGCAUCCUGGGGCUGGAGCAGGUCCCAAGGGUUUGGCUGUUCGCCAAUUAAAGCGGUACGCGAGCUGGGUUUAAAACGUCGUGAGACAGUUUGGUCCCUAUCUUCCGUGGGCGCAGGACACUUGAGAGGAGCUAUCCAUAGUACGAGAGGACCUGGAUGGACGAACCUCUGGUGCUCCGGUUGUCACGCCAGUGGCAUAGCCGGGUAGCCAUGUUCGGAACAGAUAACCGCUGAUGCAUAUAAGCGGGAAGCUGGCCUCAAGACUAGGUGUCCCUGACGCAAGUCACUAAAGGCCCCUCGAAGACUACGAGGUUGAUAGGCUAGGUGUGGAAGCACAGCGAUGUGCGGAGCUAACUAGUACUAAUAGGCCGUGCGACUUGACCUC
RNAcentral lists this ribosomal RNA (1274 nucleotides) under metagenome. Its description in RNAcentral is "bacterial LSU rRNA". It matches the Rfam family "Bacterial large subunit ribosomal RNA", at positions 1667 to 2925 of the family's 2925-position model. The record is from RNAcentral.